CCAGGGGUGGCGGAGUGGCCAAUCGCACCAGACUGUAAAUCUGGCGGCUUAUGCCUGCGAAGGUUCGAAUCCUUCCCUCUGGA
Molecule: non-coding RNA, 83 nt
Organism: Candidatus Roizmanbacteria bacterium
Lineage: Bacteria; Candidatus Roizmaniibacteriota
Source: Rfam